UGUUGUGAUGUUCUGCCAUUUUACCCACAUUGUUUUUAAAAUCUAAGAUUAGAAGGCAAAUUGCUGACACACCA
Small nucleolar RNA from Gambusia affinis (western mosquitofish), 74 nucleotides. RefSeq annotates it as small nucleolar RNA SNORD34. The transcript has a single exon. Lineage: Eukaryota; Metazoa; Chordata; Actinopteri; Cyprinodontiformes; Poeciliidae. The record is from RefSeq and is a predicted model, not a curated record.